Molecule: ribosomal RNA, 253 nt
Filed under: uncultured prokaryote
Description: partial 16S ribosomal RNA
Rfam family: Bacterial small subunit ribosomal RNA
Source: RNAcentral
UACGUAGGGGGCAAGCGUUGUCCGGAAUCAUUGGGCGUAAAGCGCGUGUAGGCGGCUCGGUAAGUCUGCUGUGAAAGUCCAGGGCUCAACCCUGGGAUGCCGGUGGAUACUGUCGAGCUCGAGUCCGGAAGAGGCGAGUGGAAUUCCUGGUGUAGCGGUGAAAUGCGCAGAUAUCAGGAGGAACACCGGUGGCGAAGGCGGGUCUCUGGGCCGAUACUGACGCUGAGGAGCGAAAGCGUGGGGAGCGAACAGG